This 114-nucleotide non-coding RNA is filed under the name Martelella endophytica. Its description in RNAcentral is "TPP sequence". It matches the Rfam family "TPP riboswitch aptamer (THI element)". From Rfam's summary of the family: Vitamin B(1) in its active form thiamin pyrophosphate (TPP) is an essential coenzyme that is synthesised by coupling of pyrimidine and thiazole moieties in bacteria. The previously detected thiamin-regulatory element, thi box was extended, resulting in a new, highly conserved RNA secondary structure, the THI element, which is widely distributed in eubacteria and also occurs in some archaea. The record is from Rfam by way of RNAcentral. Lineage: Bacteria; Pseudomonadati; Pseudomonadota; Alphaproteobacteria; Hyphomicrobiales; Aurantimonadaceae.
CCACAUUCACAGGGGUGCUCCGUAUCGCCGGGGCUGAGAUUGAAGACGCCAUGUCUUCUGACCCUUUAGCUGAUCUGGGUAAUGCCAGCGGAGCGAGGUAAAAUGUUUUCCGGU